CGCAUCUGUGCAUGCAGCAUAUCAAUAAGCGGAGGAAAAGAAACUAACAAGGAUUCCCUUAGUAACGGCGAGUGAAGCGGGAAGAGCUCAAAUUUGAAAUCUUCAAGGUUUUACCUUGACGAAUUGUAGUUUAAAGAAGUGUUUUCUGUUGAAGUUUUGGUAAAAGUUCUUUGGAAUAGGACAUCAUAGAGGGUGAGAAUCCCGUAUUUGACCAUUAUUUUCAGCUGUGUGAUACACUUUCAAAGAGUCGGAUUGUUUGGGAAUGCAGUCCAAAAUGGGUGGUGAAUUUCAUCUAAAGCUAAAUAUUGGUCGAGAGACCGAUAGCGAACAAGUACCGUGAGGGAAAGAUGAAAAGAACUUUGAAAAGAGAGUUAAACAGUACGUGAAAUUGUCAAAAGGGAAGCGUUUGACACCAGUGUUGUUUUCUCGAAAAUCAAUUAAAAAGAGUUAGAUUUUGUUGUGUAUUGACCUUAACAGCUUGCAUUUCAAUUUUCUUGCUUUUUUUAAUGCACUUUUCGUUUAACAAGUCAACAUCAGUUUCUUUUGUUGUAAAAAGGUCAUUGGAAGGUGGCUUUCUUUUCGGAUGAAAGUGUUUAUAGCCUUUGACUCCUGCAAUCGGAGAGACUGAGGUCCGCAGCGUAGAUCCUUCGGGGUUAGAUACAUUUGUGCUAAGUUAUAGCUUUUUAUAGACAACUUGUUGACUAUGAUUAGUCUUGUAGCUUACUCGCUUAUGCUAUUUUACCUACGCUUAGGAUGUUGACACACGCGCGUGCUCG
Molecule: ribosomal RNA, 776 nt
Filed under: uncultured Neocallimastigales
Lineage: Eukaryota; Fungi; Neocallimastigomycota; Neocallimastigomycetes; Neocallimastigales
Description: partial large subunit ribosomal RNA
Rfam family: Eukaryotic large subunit ribosomal RNA
Source: RNAcentral